Cucurbita pepo subsp. pepo (vegetable marrow) is the source of this 197-nucleotide non-coding RNA. Lineage: Eukaryota; Viridiplantae; Streptophyta; Magnoliopsida; Cucurbitales; Cucurbitaceae. The record is from RefSeq and is a predicted model, not a curated record.
AAUUAGACCAAGUAUGGAAAACAAAUUACUUGUUUGUAAUCCUGAACUUAUACGGGAAAUAUUUGCUUAAAACAUAGACCUAUGUGUAUACAUUGUAUGAUCCAGAACAUGUAAAACAUGUAGCUAAACAUUAAGAGGUAAAGGCUUAAUCUUGGUAGAAUGAGUAUUGCAUAGUGCAUAAUGGUGCCAAAGAUGAA